Molecule: ribosomal RNA, 433 nt
Filed under: uncultured bacterium
Lineage: Bacteria
Description: partial 16S ribosomal RNA
Rfam family: Bacterial small subunit ribosomal RNA
Source: RNAcentral
AGCGAACGCUGGCGGCAGGCCUAACACAUGCAAGUCGAACGGAUCCUUCGUGAUUACUGGCGGACGGGUGAGGAACACGUGGGAACGUUCCCUUUGGCUCGGAACACUUCAUUUACACGUGAGCUAAUACCGGGUGAGUCACUCUAGGGAAAGAUUGAUCCCCAUUGUAGCGGCGCGCGUCUGUCUAGCUUGUUGGUGAUGUAACAGCCGACGAAGGCGACGAUCAUUAGCUGGUCUGAGAGGAUGAUCAGCGACACUGGGACUGAGACACGGCCGAGACUCCUACGGGAGGGAGCAGUGGGGAAUCUUGCGCAAUGGGCGAAAGCCUGACGCAGCCCUGCCGCGUGAAUGAUGAAGGUCUUAGGAUAGUAAAAUUCUUUCAGCGGGGACGAUAAUGACGGUACCCGAAGAAGAAGCACCGGCUAACUUCGUG